Molecule: ribosomal RNA, 253 nt
Filed under: uncultured bacterium
Lineage: Bacteria
Description: partial 16S ribosomal RNA
Rfam family: Bacterial small subunit ribosomal RNA
Source: RNAcentral
UACGAGGGGUGCAAGCGUUAAUCGGAAUUACUGGGCGUAAAGCGAGCGUAGGCGGCUAAAUAAGUUGGAUGUGAAAAACCCGGGCUCAACCUGGGCUGUGCAUCCAAAACUGUUUAGCUAGAGUCCUGUAGAGGGGGGUAGAAUUUCAGGUGUAGCGGUGAAAUGCGUAGAGAUCUGAAGGAAUACCAGUGGCGAAGGCGGCCCCCUGGACAGUGACUGACGCUGAGGUUCGAAAGCGUGGGUAGCGAACAGG